AUUGAACGCUGGCGGCAGGCCUAACACAUGCAAGUCGAGCGGAUGAAGGGAGCUUGCUCCUGGAUUCAGCGGCGGACGGGUGAGUAAUGCCUAGGAAUCUGCCUGGUAGUGGGGGAUAACGUCCGGAAACGGGCGCUAAUACCGCAUACGUCCUGAGGGAGAAAGUGGGGGAUCUUCGGACCUCACGCUAUCAGAUGAGCCUGGGUCGGAGUAGCUCGUGGGUGGGGUAAAGGCCUACCAAGGCGACGAUCCGUAACUGGUCUGGGAGGAUGAUCAGUCAAAGUGGAACAGAGACGAGGUCCAGAGUCCGCCGGGAGGCAGCAGUAGGGAGUAUUGGGGAAGGGGCGAAAGCUUGACGGAGCGAAGGCGGGGGAGUGAGGAAGGUCUUCGGAUCGUAAAAUGCUGGUAUUAGGGAAGAAAAAAUGUGUAAGUAAAUAUGCACGUCUUGACGGUACCUAAUCAGAAAGCCAAGGCUAACUACGUG
This 484-nucleotide ribosomal RNA is filed under the name uncultured bacterium. RNAcentral describes it as "partial 16S ribosomal RNA". It matches the Rfam family "Bacterial small subunit ribosomal RNA", at positions 29 to 507 of the family's 1533-position model. The record is from RNAcentral.